CCUACGGGUGGCUGCAGUGGGGAAUAUUGGACAAUGGGGGGAACCCUGAUCCAGCCAUGCCGCGUGUGUGAAGAAGGCCCUCGGGUUGUAAAGCACUUUCAGUGAGGAAGAACGCCUGGUGGUUAAUACCCAUCAGGAAAGACAUCACUCACAGAAGAAGCACCGGCUAACUCCGUGCCAGCAGCCGCGGUAAUACGGAGGGUGCGAGCGUUAAUCGGAAUUACUGGGCGUAAAGCGCGCGUAGGUGGCUUGAUAAGCCGGUUGUGAAAGCCCCGGGCUCAACCUGGGAACGGCAUCCGGAACUGUCAAGCAAGAGUGCAGGAGAGGAAGGUAGAAUUCCCGGUGUAGCGGUGAAAUGCGUAGAGAUCGGGAGGAAUACCAGUGGCGAAGGCGGCCUUCUGGACUGACACUGACACUGAGGUGUGAAAGCGUGGGUAGCAAACAGGAUUAGAUACCCUAGUAGUC
This 465-nucleotide ribosomal RNA is filed under the name Vreelandella stevensii. Its description in RNAcentral is "partial 16S ribosomal RNA". It matches the Rfam family "Bacterial small subunit ribosomal RNA", at positions 338 to 795 of the family's 1533-position model. The record is from RNAcentral. Lineage: Bacteria; Pseudomonadati; Pseudomonadota; Gammaproteobacteria; Oceanospirillales; Halomonadaceae.